CUCCUACGGGAGGCAGCAGUGGGGAAUAUUGGACAAUGGGCGCAAGCCUGAUCCAGCCAUGCCGCGUGUGUGAAGAAGGCCUUCGGGUUGUAAAGCACUUUUGUUGGGGAAGAAAAGCUUCCGGUUAAUACCCGGGAGUCAUGACGGUACCCAAAGAAUAAGCACCGGCUAACUUCGUGCCAGCAGCCGCGGUAAUACGAAGGGUGCAAGCGUUACUCGGAAUUACUGGGCGUAAAGCGUGCGUAGGUGGUUUGUUAAGUCUGAUGUGAAAGCCCUGGGCUCAACCUGGGAACUGCAUUGGAUACUGGCAGGCUUGAGUGCGGUAGAGGAUAGCGGAAUUCCCGGUGUAGCAGUGAAAUGCGUAGAUAUCGGGAGGAACAUCUGUGGCGAAGGCGGCUAUCUGGACCAGCACUGACACUGAGGCACGAAAGCGUGGGGAGCAAACAGGAUUAGAUACCCUGGUAGUCCACGCCCUAAACGAUGCGAACUGGAUGUUGGGUGCACUUAGGCACUCAGUAUCGAAGCUAACGCGUUAAGUUCGCCGCCUGGGGAGUACGGUCGCAAGACUGAAACUCAAAGGAAUUGACGG
This 589-nucleotide ribosomal RNA is filed under the name uncultured bacterium. RNAcentral describes it as "bacterial SSU rRNA". It matches the Rfam family "Bacterial small subunit ribosomal RNA", at positions 336 to 916 of the family's 1533-position model. The record is from RNAcentral.